GCGGGUAUGGUGGAAUAGGCAGACACAAGAGACUUAAAAUCUCUCGGGAGAAAUCCCGUGCCGGUUCAAGUCCGGCUACCCGCA
RNAcentral lists this transfer RNA (84 nucleotides) under Ruminococcus sp. AF14-10. Its description in RNAcentral is "tRNA-Leu". It matches the Rfam family "tRNA". Rfam says of the family: Transfer RNA (tRNA) molecules are approximately 80 nucleotides in length. Their secondary structure includes four short double-helical elements and three loops (D, anti-codon, and T loops). Further hydrogen bonds mediate the characteristic L-shaped molecular structure. tRNAs have two regions of fundamental functional importance: the anti-codon, which is responsible for specific mRNA codon recognition, and the 3' end, to which the tRNAs corresponding amino acid is attached (by aminoacyl-tRNA synthetases). tRNAs cope with the degeneracy of the genetic code in two manners: having more than one tRNA (with a specific anti-codon) for a particular amino acid; and 'wobble' base-pairing, i.e. permitting non-standard base-pairing at the 3rd anti-codon position. The record is from RNAcentral. Lineage: Bacteria; Bacillati; Bacillota; Clostridia; Eubacteriales; Oscillospiraceae. RNAcentral also lists the same sequence under 2 other names.